This 284-nucleotide unclassified non-coding RNA is filed under the name Leptinotarsa decemlineata (Colorado potato beetle). RNAcentral's name for it is "uncharacterized LOC111511861, transcript variant X1". Lineage: Eukaryota; Metazoa; Arthropoda; Insecta; Coleoptera; Chrysomelidae. The record is from RNAcentral.
UAUCAUAACCACAAUUAAAAUGUGAAACUUAUUUUCUCGAAAUUAUAUUUUCGCUGCCGAAGUACGCCAGUGUAUUGACAAUCAUUCACAAACAAAUCUAGCACGAGAGCUCGAUGGAUAAUUUGAAGACUUGCAGGAGAAAGCGAGACCUUGAAAGAACAUGAAGAUGAACUUGACUCUGAAUCGAAGAAGACUACAUUCCUCAACAGAUAUUUGUUGCAAUACUUCUGGUAACCUGGGAAUGGCAACAAGUUGCUGCUGUUGUUAAUAAUGGUCAACCGUCU